This 638-nucleotide ribosomal RNA is filed under the name uncultured Actinomycetes bacterium. RNAcentral's name for it is "bacterial SSU rRNA". It matches the Rfam family "Bacterial small subunit ribosomal RNA", at positions 232 to 885 of the family's 1533-position model. The record is from RNAcentral. Lineage: Bacteria; Bacillati; Actinomycetota; Actinomycetes.
CGCGGCCUAUCAGCUUGUUGGUGAGGUAACGGCUCACCAAGGCAUCGACGGGUAGCUGGUCUGAGAGGACGAUCAGCCACACUGGGACUGAGACACGGCCCAGACUCCUACGGGAGGCAGCAGUAGGGAAUCUUGCGCAAUGGGGGCAACCCUGACGCAGCAACGCCGCGUGUGGGAUGACGGCUUUCGGGUUGUAAACCACUUUCAGUGAUGACGAAAAUGACGGUAAUCACAGAAGAAGGUCCGGCCAACUACGUGCCAGCAGCCGCGGUAACACGUAGGGACCAAGCGUUGUCCGGAUUUAUUGGGCGUAAAGAGCUCGUAGACGGUUCUGUAAGUCGGAUGUGAAAACUCAGGGCUCAACCCUGAGACGCCAUCUGAUACUGCAGUGACUAGAGUCCGGUAGAGGAAGAUGGAAUUCCUGGUGUAGCGGUGGAAUGCGCAGAUAUCAGGAGGAACACCAAUGGCGAAGGCAGUCUUCUGGGCCGGUACUGACGCUGAGGAGCGAAAGCAUGGGGAGCAAACAGGAUUAGAUACCCUGGUAGUCCAUGCCGUAAACGUUGGGCACUAGGUGUGGGGUCUUCUAACGGAUUCCGUGCCGUAGCUAACGCAUUAAGUGCCCCGCCUGGGGAGUACGG